Molecule: ribosomal RNA, 782 nt
Filed under: Serratia sp. EP91F2
Lineage: Bacteria; Pseudomonadati; Pseudomonadota; Gammaproteobacteria; Enterobacterales; Yersiniaceae
Description: bacterial SSU rRNA
Rfam family: Bacterial small subunit ribosomal RNA
Source: RNAcentral
AGAGCUUGCUCUCUGGGUGACGAGCGGCGGACGGGUGAGUAAUGUCUGGGAAACUGCCCGAUGGAGGGGGAUAACCACUGGAAACGGUGGCUAAUACCGCAUAACGUCUACGGACCAAAGUGGGGGACCUUCGGGCCUCACACCAUCGGAUGUGCCCAGAUGGGAUUAGCUAGUAGGUGAGGUAACGGCUCACCUAGGCGACGAUCCCUAGCUGGUCUGAGAGGAUGACCAGCCACACUGGAACUGAGACACGGUCCAGACUCCUACGGGAGGCAGCAGUGGGGAAUAUUGCACAAUGGGCGCAAGCCUGAUGCAGCCAUGCCGCGUGUGUGAAGAAGGCCUUCGGGUUGUAAAGCACUUUCAGCGAGGAGGAAGGGUGGUGUGUUAAUAGCGCAUCACAUUGACGUUACUCGCAGAAGAAGCACCGGCUAACUCCGUGCCAGCAGCCGCGGUAAUACGGAGGGUGCAAGCGUUAAUCGGAAUUACUGGGCGUAAAGCGCACGCAGGCGGUUUGUUAAGUCAGAUGUGAAAUCCCCGCGCUUAACGUGGGAACUGCAUUUGAAACUGGCAAGCUAGAGUCUUGUAGAGGGGGGUAGAAUUCCAGGUGUAGCGGUGAAAUGCGUAGAGAUCUGGAGGAAUACCGGUGGCGAAGGCGGCCCCCUGGACAAAGACUGACGCUCAGGUGCGAAAGCGUGGGGAGCAAACGGGAUUAGAUACCCUGGUAGUCCACGCUGUAAACGAUGUCGAUUUGGAGGUUGUGCCCUUGAGGCGUGGCUUCCGGA